GACGAACGCUGGCGGCGUGCCUAAUACAUGCAAGUAGAACGCUGAAGGAGGAGCUUGCUUCUCUGGAUGAGUUGCGAACGGGUGAGUAACGCGUAGGUAACCUGCCUGGUAGCGGGGGAUAACUAUUGGAAACGAUAGCUAAUACCGCAUAAGAGUAGAUGUUGCAUGACAUUUGCUUAAAAGGUGCAAUUGCAUCACUACCAGAUGGACCUGCGUUGUAUUAGCUAGUUGGUGGGGUAACGGCUUACCAAGGCGACGAUACAUAGCCGACCUGAGAGGGUGAUCGGCCACACUGGGACUGAGACACGGCCCAGACUCCUACGGGAGGCAGCAGUAGGGAAUCUUCGGCAAUGGACGGAAGUCUGACCGAGCAACGCCGCGUGAGUGAAGAAGGUUUUCGGAUCGUAAAGCUCUGCUGUAAGAGAAGAACGAGUGUGAGAGUGGAAAGUUCACACUGUGACGGUAUCUUACCAGAAAGAGACGGCUAACUACGUG
RNAcentral lists this ribosomal RNA (495 nucleotides) under uncultured bacterium. RNAcentral describes it as "partial 16S ribosomal RNA". It matches the Rfam family "Bacterial small subunit ribosomal RNA", at positions 28 to 507 of the family's 1533-position model. The record is from RNAcentral.